CUUGAGAUUUCACAAGGUAUGCCUGCUGACAGCACUACGUUCUUAUCUUCUUCUGGUGUUCUUAGCAGCAAUGAAAAUGAUAACUCAAACAUUAGCAAGGAUGGGCUUUUGACUACCUUUGAAAAGUUAGCAUGGGCACAUCUUGAUGUUUACUGCAAAUUGCAGAGACAAACAUCCAUUAACUUAAAUGAGAGUGAAUCAGGGGAAUUAUCUUAUUUAUACAAGAG
Molecule: unclassified non-coding RNA, 227 nt
Filed under: Hevea brasiliensis (rubber tree)
Lineage: Eukaryota; Viridiplantae; Streptophyta; Magnoliopsida; Malpighiales; Euphorbiaceae
Source: RNAcentral